UUAAGCUACUAAGAGCAUAGGGUGAAUGCCUUGGCACCAAGAGCCGAUGAAGGACGUGAUAAGCUGCGAAAAGCUAUGGGGAGGAGCAAAUAUCCAUUAUAUCCAUAGAUAUCCGAAUGAGGGAACUCAGCUGGUGGAAAAAGACCAGUUAUCCAUACAUAAGUAAAGUAGUGUAUGUGAAGGGAACGUGGGGAACUGAAACAUCUAAGUACCCACAGGAAAAGAAAGAAAACUCGAUUCCUUGAGUAGUGGCGAGCGAAAGAGGAAGAGCCUAAACCAGAAGAAGUAAUUCUACUGGGGUUAUGGACUACAUAAUUGAUUCAUGAGAUUUAGCAGAACUGUUUGGAAAAGCAGACCAAAGAUAGUGAAAGUCUAGUAAGCGAAAAAUCAAAUGACAUGGUAGUAUCCAGAGUAGUGCGAGACACGGGAAAUCUCGUAUGAAGAAUGGGGGACCACCCCCAAAGGCUAAAUACUACUUGGUGACCGAUAGUGAAGCAGUACCGUGAGGGAAAGGUGAAAAGAACCCCGGGAGGGGAGUGAAAGAGAACCUGAAACCCUAUGUUUACAAGCAGACAAAGCACGUUAAGGUGCGAUGUCGUACUUUUUGUAGAACGGUCCGGCGAGUUAUUUUAUAUGGCAAGGUUAAGUACUUAAGGUACGAAGCCGAAGAGAAAUCGAGUCUGAAGAGGGCGAAUAAGUCAUAUGAAAUAGACCCGAAACCGGGUGACCUAUCCAUGGUCAGGUUGAAGCUUGAGUAAAAUCAAGUGGAGGACCGAACCCAUAAGCGUUAAAAAGCUUCGGGAUGAACUGUGGAUAGCGGAGAAAUUCCAAUCGAACUCGGAGAUAGCUGGUUCUCCUCGAAAUAGUUUUAGGACUAGCCUUGUUUAGUAGUACGUGGGGGUAGAGCACUGAAGGAGCUAGGGGCCAAACCAGGUUACCGAACUCUAUCAAACUCCGAAUACCAUGUAUGUAAGAACAGGAGUCAGACUGUGGGAGCUAAGUUCCAUGGUCAAAAGGGAAAGAGCCCAGAUCGUCAAUUAAGGUCCCAAAGAUAUAGUUAAGUGGAAAACGAUGUGAUUUUGCGUAAACAACCAGGAUGUUGGCUUAGAAGCAGCCAUUCAUUUAAAGAGUGCGUAAUAGCUCACUGGUCGAGUGAAGUUGCGCGGAAAAUUACCGGGGCUAAACUAUACACCGAAAUUGCGGAUUCAUACGUAAGUAUGAGUGGUAGAGGAGCAUUCUGUUGUAGGACGAAGCAUGAUCGAAAGGACAUGUGGACGAAGCAGAAGAGAGAAUGCCGGAAUAAGUAGCGAAAGCAUGGUGAGAAUCCAUGCCAUCGAAAGUCUAAGGUUUCCUGGGGAAGGUUCGUCCGCCCAGGGUAAGUCGGGACCUAAGGUGAGGCCGAAAGGCGUAGCCGAUGGACAGCAGGUAGAAAUUCCUGCACCACCGAUAUACUUAAAAAGCGCAAGGGACACAGGAGUGGAAGAGAAGCGAGGAAGAGGAAAAACUCGUAUCGAAAGAUAUAGUGAAAAUAAAGUAACGAAUUCUCAAGAAGCACACUGGCGAGAAAAGCUUGUGAGUAUUGUAUAUAGGUGCCCGUACCGCAAACCGACACAGGUAGAUGAGGAGAAGAUCCUAAGAUGAGCGAGAGAAGCAUUGUUAAGGAACUCGGCAAAUUGACCCCGUAACUUAGGGAGAAGGGGUACCGGUGUAACAGCCGGUCGCAGUGAAUCGGUCCAAGCAACUGUUUAACAAAAACACAGGUUUCUGCUAAAUCGAAAGAUGAAGUAUAGGAGCUGACGCCUGCCCAGUGCUGGAAGGUUAAGGGGAAGGGUUAUUCGUAAGAAGAAGCUUUGAACCAAAGCCCCAGUGAACGGCGGCCGUAACUAUAACGGUCCUAAGGUAGCGAAAUUCCUUGUCAGGUAAGUUCUGACCCGC
This 1935-nucleotide ribosomal RNA is filed under the name human gut metagenome. Its description in RNAcentral is "bacterial LSU rRNA". It matches the Rfam family "Bacterial large subunit ribosomal RNA", at positions 3 to 1991 of the family's 2925-position model. The record is from RNAcentral.